This 29-nucleotide non-coding RNA is filed under the name Mus musculus (house mouse). Lineage: Eukaryota; Metazoa; Chordata; Mammalia; Rodentia; Muridae. The record is from RNAcentral.
UGGCACCCAAGAGGCACAUCUACUUGCAC